CCUCCAGGCCCUGCCUUCUGCCUGCACAUUCUGCCCUGAUUUCCGGAACCUGGAAGCCUAGGCAGGCAGUGGGGAACUCUGACUCGCCUGUGCUCUGGAGCUUGAUCCGAAAGCUUCCACAGUGAGGACUGCUCCGUGGGGGUAAGAGAGCACCAGGCACUGAGGCCUGGGAGUUCCACAGACCAACACCCCUGCUCCUGGCGGCUCCCACCCGGGACUUAGACCCUCAGGUCCCUAAUAUCCCGGAGGUGCUCUCAAUCAGAAAGGUCCUGCUCCGCUUCGCAGUGGAAUGGAACGGAUUUAGAAGCCUGCAGUAGGGGAGUGGGGAGUGGAGAGAGGGAGCCCAGAGUUACAGACGGCGGCGAGAGGAAGGAGGGGCGUCUUUAUUUUUUUAAGGCCCCAAAGAGUCUGAUGUUUACAAGACCAGAAAUGCCACGGCCGCGUCCUGGCAGAGAAAAGGCUGAAAUGGAGGACCGGCGCCUUCCUUAUAAGUAUGCACAUUGGCGAGAGAAGUGCUGCAACCUAAACCAGCAAUUACACCCAAGCUCGUUGGGGCCUAAGCCAGUACCGACCUGGUAGAAAAAGCAACCACGAAGCUAGAGAGAGAGCCAGAGGAGGGAAGAGAGCGCCAGACGAAGGUGAAAGCGAACCACGCAGAGAAAUGCAGGCAAGGGAGCAAGGCGGCAGUUCCCGGAACAAACGUGGCAGAGGGCAAGACGGGCACUCACAGACAGAGGUUUAUGUAUUUUUAUUUUUUAAAAUCUGAUUUGGUGUUCCAUGAGGAAAAGGGAAAAUCUAGGGAACGGGAGUACAGAGAGAAUAAUCCGGGUCCUAGCUCGCCACAUGAACGCCCAGAGAACGCUGGAAAAACCUGAGCGGGUGCCGGGGCAGCACCCGGCUCGGGUCAGCCACUGCCCCACACCGGGCCCACCAAGCCCCGCCCCUCGCGGCCACCGGGGCUUCCUUGCUCUUCUUAUCAUCUCCAUCUUUAUGAUGAGGCUUGUUAACAAGACCAGAGAGCUGGCCAAGCACCUCUAUCUCAGCCGCGCCCGCUCAGCCGAGCAGCGGUCGGUGGGGGGACUGGGAGGCGCUAAUUAAUUGAUUCCUUUGGACUGUAAAAUAUGGCGGCGUCUACACGGAACCCAUGGACUCAUAAACAAUAUAUCUGUUGGGCGUGAGUGCACUGUCUCUCAAAUAAUUUUUCCAUAGGCAAAUGUCAGAGGGUUCUGGAUUUUUAGUUGCUAAGGAAAGAUCCAAAUGGGACCAAUUUUAGGAGGCCCAAACAGAGUCCGUUCAGUGUCAGAAAAUGCUUCCCCAAAGGGGUUGGGAGUGUGUUUUGUUGGAAAAAAGCUUGGGUUAUAGGAAAGCCUUUCCCUGCUACUUGUGUAGACCCAGCCCAAUUUAAGAAUUACAAGGAAGCGAAGGGGUUGUGUAGGCCGGAAGCCUCUCUGUCCCGGCUGGAUGCAGGGGACUUGAGCUGCUCCGGAAUUUGAGAGGAACAUAGAAGCAAAGGUCCAGCCUUUGCUUCGUGCUGAUUCCUAGACUUAAGAUUCAAAAACAAAUUUUUAAAAGUGAAACCAGCCCUAGCCUUUGGAAGCUCUUGAAGGUUCAGCACCCACCCAGGAAUCCACCUGCCUGUUACACGCCUCUCCAAGACACAGUGGCACCGCUUUUCUAACUGGCAGCACAGAGCAACUCUAUAAUAUGCUUAUAUUAGGUCUAGAAGAAUGCAUCUUGAGACACAUGGGUAACCUAAUUAUAUAAUGCUUGUUCCAUACAGGAGUGAUUAUGCAGUGGGACCCUGCUGCAAACGGGACUUUGCACUCUAAAUAUAGACCCCAGCUUGGGACAAAAGUUGCAGUAGAAAAAUAGACAUAGGAGAACACUUAAAUAAGUGAUGCAUGUAGACACAGAAGGGGUAUUUAAAAGACAGAAAUAAUAGAAGUACAGAAGAACAGAAAAAAAAUCAGCAGAUGGAGAUUACCAUUCCCAAUGCCUGAACUUCCUCCUGCUAUUAAGAUUGCUAGAGAAUUGUGUCUUAAACAGUUCAUGAACCCAGAAGAAUGCAAUUUCAAUGUAUUUAGUACACACACAGUAUGUAUAUAAACACAACUCACAGAAUAUAUUUUCCAUACAUUGGGUAGGUAUGCACUUUGUGUAUAUAUAAUAAUGUAUUUUCCAUGCAGUUUUAAAAUGUAGAUAUAUUAAUAUCUGGAUGCAUUUUCUGUGCACUGGUUUUAUAUGCCUUAUGGAGUAUAUACUCACAUGUAGCUAAAUAGACUCAGGACUGCACAUUCCUUGUGUAGGUUGUGUGUGUGUGGUGGUUUUAUGCAUAAAUAAAGUUUUACAUGUGGUGAAUAUAAA
RNAcentral lists this long non-coding RNA (2364 nucleotides) under Homo sapiens (human). Its description in RNAcentral is "HOX transcript antisense RNA (HOTAIR)". The record is from RNAcentral. Lineage: Eukaryota; Metazoa; Chordata; Mammalia; Primates; Hominidae.